Long non-coding RNA from Bacillus rossius redtenbacheri, 2428 nucleotides. RefSeq lists it as uncharacterized. The record is from RefSeq and is a predicted model, not a curated record. The transcript is spliced from 2 exons. Lineage: Eukaryota; Metazoa; Arthropoda; Insecta; Phasmatodea; Bacillidae.
AGUAAAACAAAUGUACACAAAUAUUUUCUUGUUACUAAUUAUGAGAUUUUCAGGUAGCGUGUGGAGAUUUCAUCUUAUGUUCAUGAGCGCACAACGUAUAAAAUCAUAAGAAAUGUUUUCUGUUGGUGUGUAGCAGUUAACCGCAUUUAAGUAAAAAUAUUUUAAAAUAAUUUUUACCAGAGCUGAAUUACAUUCAGGUGAGUGCACUUAAUAUAAUUUGGGGUAUUGCAGGAAAAAUUAUAAAUUCCUAAAGUGUUUUUUCUUCCUGACAUGUUUAAAAUUAUUAUUCUCUAUGAGGGUUGUUUGAUACUGCAAGUAGUUUAUCAUGUUUAACAUGUGGAUAGGUUAGGAUUAUUUAUUACAAAUCUGUAAUAUUGAGAUACUGCCCUUGGGUUAGCAGGAUUAAAAAUACAGUGAAAUUUGUUAGGUUAGUAACAUUAUACGUACAGUGAUUCUAAGUACAGUGGAAUUUACAUUUGGUUAGCUUCGGAUAGCGCCAAUUAAAAAUUCUGUAAAAUCAAUUGAACGGUUGGAUGUUACUAACUUAAUCUAACCAACCAAUAUACAUUUUACAGUGAUUUUUUAAUUUAUCAUCUCACGUUGCUGCUUUUUGUAUGCAAAAUAAACUUUGGACACUUUUUUUUAAACUUUAAAUAUGUACCUGUAUUUACUCUGAAAAAAGUUUUUCUAAAUUCAGACUGGGUUUUGAGAAAUCACUGUUUAUAGGUUACAUUACAUUACCUGUGUAGUAAAGGGCCUGUCACCAUGUUGUUCUUUAAUUGAGUUGCAGAUCCUGUUUUUUUUUAUACACAAAUUGUAUAUUUUUUAUUUGGAUAUUGCAAUGCAGAAACGUAAAUUAACACAUUAAAAAAGUUAUGUGACUCCUUAUUGUGCAUUCCAAACCCAAAGCAUCAGUCCUUGAGAGCGAUAUUUUUUAGCAGUUUAUAGGUGCAAAAUUCUGAUUUUUUACGUGAGACAACACAUAACCUGACAUAUAAAAUAAAUUUUCAUUUUGUAACAAAUGAUUCCUUUUAUAUGUCAGGUUAUGUGCUAUUGCAGGUAACUAAUCUGCGCUUUGCGCCUCCAUACUGCUAUAAAAAAUCCCUGUCAAGGGUUGGCGUUUUGGUUUGGAUACACAUUAGAGACUCGUAACUUUGUUAAAACUAUUAUUGAUGUUUCAUUAGGUUAUAAUAUUCAAAUAAAAAAUAAAUACAUUCUUAUAUAUAUGCAAAACCACAGGAUCUGCAAUGCAAUUAGAGGGAAAAAUGACGACAGCUGCUUCACUGCAUAAGCUAUCUAGUGUGACCUGCAAAAUGUGAUUUCUUGAAAACCAGUAGGAAUUAAGAAAAACUGUUUACAGUUUUAAUAGAGGAAGGUUUUUAGUGUCUGAAAAGGUAUUUUCAAAAUUUUAUAAUUUAAUUUAUGGAUAAGCAGCAACAAAAGAAAAUUACCUUUUUUUAAAUUUAGCUAACCAACCAUUCACAUGAUUUUACAAAUUUUGUAUUGUUUAUACUUACCUGCUUUAACAUUAAACUACUGUUAAACAAUUUAUUUCAAUUUUUUAAAAAUAUCUUUGGGAAUUAGCGCAGUAUAAUCGAAGACGUUUACUGUAUUGAUGAUUGAUUUACUUUAUUGAUGCACAACGAAGUUGUAUAAUUGUUGGAUUGGUUAAGCAAAUUCAAGCAUCAAGGGUACUGAUCAAUGGUUUUUAACAUUAUAUUUUCUUAAUGAGUCCAUUGGUAAAACGUUAAAACACUGGAAUGGCUAAAUUUCCAUCGACUGCUUAUGUUUUUUUCCACAUGCUCACUUGAAAACAAUUACAGGGUUAUACUGUAGUUCACAGUUGCAAUACUUGGUUAGGUUAGUUACAUAAGUGCUGUUAAAUCAUGAAAAUGGUUAGGGAAAGGUAACUUCUUCAUAACUACUGUAAAAUGGUGUAAGCAAUUCUUUAGGUAAGUUUUACCUAGACUUUAAAAAUAAUUUAUUUGGCGAAGUACAUAGUACUAAGAAUUACUAUUUAUCAAAUUUGGUUUGUGUGGAAAAGUUGUUACUCUAGGAAAUUUCUGAAUCCAUCUUUGUAGGAAUAUAAACUAAUAUUAUUAGAAACAAAAAAAAACAAUGUGUGGUAUAUUUUAAUUUUCUAACACCCUCUGAACUCUGCAGUUAUGCGAUUACCGAUAAUAAUUGUAAAUCAUUGCAAUAUACAUCCGACACAUUUUGUAGUGAUUUCACAACUGUACUAUGAAGUAAUGCUAUCGACUGCUGCAAAAUAACAUGCUGACAUCUAUUCUCGUGUAGGCAAUUUUUUGAUACGACUAAAAUAUGACCAUAUAGGAUACAUAUAGAAUCUUACAAAUUUUGAUAACCUACCUACUAAUACUCUCCCCGAAGACUUUGGUAAUAAUAAAAAAAAAUUAAUAAAAAAAAA